UGUCAGAUUUGCUCUAAAUGCUUUGGUUUUUGAGUUAUAAGCCAAAAACUGCAUUUUACCCCUAUGUUCUAUUUUUAGCCAUGGCAGCCAUCUUGGUUGGUUGGCCGGGUCACCGGACACAAUUUUUAAACUAGAUACCCUAAUAAUGAUUUUGGCCAUGUUUGGUUAAAUUUGGCCCAGCAGUUUCAGAGGAGAAGAUUUUUGUAAAAGUUAACGACGCCGGACGCCGGACGCCGGACGACGCCGGACGCCGGACGCCAAGUGCUGAGAAAAGCUCACUUGGCCCUUCGGGCCAGGUGAGCUAAAAAUGG
Molecule: long non-coding RNA, 311 nt
Filed under: Mytilus galloprovincialis (Mediterranean mussel)
Lineage: Eukaryota; Metazoa; Mollusca; Bivalvia; Mytilida; Mytilidae
Source: RNAcentral